GACGAACGCUGGCGGCGUGCUUAACACAUGCAAGUCGAACGGAAAGGCCCUGCUUUUGUGGGGUGCUCGAGUGGCGAACGGGUGAGUAACACGUGAGUAACCUGCCCUUGACUUUGGGAUAACUUCAGGAAACUGGGGCUAAUACCGGAUAGGAGCUCCUGCUGCAUGGUGGGGGUUGGAAAGUUUCGGCGGUUGGGGAUGGACUCGCGGCUUAUCAGCUUGUUGGUGGGGUAGUGGCUUACCAAGGCUUUGACGGGUAGCCGGCCUGAGAGGGUGACCGGUCACAGGGGGAGGGCGCUGCGGCCGUGCGUGGAGGAGGGGGGGGGAGUGGGGAGUAGGGACCGACGGCGGGCAGGGUGAGGCCGCGACGGCGCGUGCGGGGCGCCUGCUGUCGGCUGCGAACGUGCUUUCCGCGGGGGGGGAGGGUGGGUCAGGGGAAGGGAGACCGAAACAGCGGCUAAAUGAGCGCCAGCGGCCGCGGUAAGAUAGAAGAGGCCCACACGCCUGAUC
Molecule: ribosomal RNA, 510 nt
Filed under: uncultured bacterium
Lineage: Bacteria
Description: partial 16S ribosomal RNA
Rfam family: Bacterial small subunit ribosomal RNA (bases 12-374)
Source: RNAcentral